GAAAUGCGAUAAGUAAUGUGAAUUGCAGAAUUCAGUGAAUCAGCGAAUCUUUGAACGCACAUUGCGCCCGCCAGCACUCUGGCGGGCAUGCCUGUUCGAGCGUCAUUUCAACCCUCAGAACCCCUUGCGGGAUCUGGCGUUGGGGAUUGGCAUCCAGCCAGCCCCGAAAUCUAGUGGCGGUCCCUCCGCGACCUCCCCUGUGCAGUAGCGAUACCUCGCAGCGGGACAGCGGUCUGACCACGCCGUAAAACCCCCAACUUCUCAAGGUUGACCUCGAAUCAGGUAGGAAUACCCGCUGAACUUAAGC
Molecule: unclassified non-coding RNA, 307 nt
Filed under: plant metagenome
Description: partial contains 5.8S ribosomal RNA, internal transcribed spacer 2, and large subunit ribosomal RNA
Rfam family: 5.8S ribosomal RNA (bases 1-105)
Source: RNAcentral